CCUACGGGAGGCAGCAGUGGGGAAUUUUGGACAAUGGGCGAAAGCCUGAUCCAGCAAUGCCGCGUGCAGGAAGAAGGCCUUCGGGUUGUAAACUGCUUUUGUACGGAACGAAACGGUCCUUUUUAAUACAAGGGGCUAAUGACGGUACCGUAAGAAUAAGCACCGGCUAACUACGUGCCAGCAGCCGCGGUAAUACGUAGGGUGCGAGCGUUAAUCGGAAUUACUGGGCGUAAAGCGUGCGCAGGCGGUUAUAUAAGACAGUUGUGAAAUCCCCGGGCUCAACCUGGGAAUUGCAUCUGUGACUGUAUAGCUAGAGUACGGUAGAGGGGGAUGGAAUUCCGCGUGUAGCAGUGAAAUGCGUAGAUAUGCGGAGGAACACCGAUGGCGAAGGCAAUCCCCUGGACCUGUACUGACGCUCAUGCACGAAAGCGUGGGGAGCAAACAGGAUUAGAUACCCUGGUAGUCCACGCCCUAAACGAUGUCAACUGGUUGUUGGGUGCAUUAGUACUCAGUAACGAAGCUAACGCGUGAAGUUGACCGCCUGGGGAGUACGGCCGCAAGGUUGAAACUUCAAAUAGAGUUAGUAGGCGNGNGAGNGCGACGGACGACGACGAGGGAGGAGG
This 623-nucleotide ribosomal RNA is filed under the name uncultured bacterium. RNAcentral describes it as "bacterial SSU rRNA". It matches the Rfam family "Bacterial small subunit ribosomal RNA", at positions 338 to 954 of the family's 1533-position model. The record is from RNAcentral.